CACAGGAUGUAGAAGCCACCAGAAGGCAGGGAAGCUCUUACAAUAUGUUGAGGAGAAGGUUGUUCUUCAAGCAAGUGUGUCCCAAGGACCUUCUCAGCAACACUAGGAGAUAAUAAAACAUUCAGGUAAAACUACCAGUGCUGCCAAGAUGAGCUCUAUAACCAAGGGGACUUCCAAGUGCCUCAGGAAUCCUCAGUACCCAAUGGCAUUAAGUGUCCUGCCUGCUACAACGUGUAUGAUGUUUCCUGCGACCCAGUUCUUCUUGCCUGCACUGGUACAGAGACAAAGCGUGUGGAAGUUAUUGGCAUAGGUACAACUAUUUCCACAGGAUUCUUGGUGUUCAUUUUCUCAAAGGAUAUAUCUGUGCUAGUUAUCUUUGCUGUGUAAUCAUUACUCCAAAACUUGGCAGUUUAAAACAAUGAGCAUUUAUUAUUUCAUGGCAUCUGAGGGUCAGGAGUUUGGAAGUGGCCUAGCUAAGUGCUUCUGGCUGAGUUUCUCAUGAAGUUGUAAUCUAGCUGUCAGCAGGGCCUGUCACCAGGAAGACCUGCUUCCAAGAUCACCCAUGUAGUUGUCAGGCUUGGUUCUUCUCUACAUGGGUCUCUGUGUGGGCUGCCUGGAUGUCCUUAUAAUGUAUUC
Molecule: long non-coding RNA, 636 nt
Organism: Canis lupus familiaris (dog)
Lineage: Eukaryota; Metazoa; Chordata; Mammalia; Carnivora; Canidae
Exons: 3
Source: RefSeq, a predicted model, not a curated record